RNAcentral lists this ribosomal RNA (983 nucleotides) under Pentodontini sp. Kuro. RNAcentral's name for it is "partial 16S ribosomal RNA". The record is from RNAcentral. Lineage: Eukaryota; Metazoa; Arthropoda; Insecta; Coleoptera; Scarabaeidae.
AAAUAAAAGUUAAUAAAUUAAUUUUCUCGAAUUAAAAAGAGCUAUGAUAAUAUGAAUUUAAUUGUGCCAUAAAUUUUUAUAUUAUCAUUGGGGUGAAACGUUAGUCGAUUUUUAAGAUAUCUAGUUUUUUAAGAAAUGAAUUUAAUUCAGUUUUUUUAAUUUAUAAAAUUAAUUAUUAUAGUUUUAUGAUUUAAGAAAGUAAUAUUUUUAGGGAUAAGCUUGAAAAUUUCAUUUUAUAAAUAAAGUUUUUAUUAAAGUUAAGAAUUAGUAGGAUUGAAAAUGUUUAUCUAUAACUUGCUAUAAUAAAUUUUUAAUUAAAUAAGAUUUAUAUAUAAUUUAAGUUAUUUUUUAAAAAUAUAAUAAUAAUUUAUGUGUAAUAAUGAUAGAAUUAGUAUAGAAUAUUGUAAGAUAUAGUUAAUAAUAAAGGUUAAGUUAAGGAACUCGGCAAAUAUACUUUUCGCCUGUUUAUUAAAAACAUGUCUUUUUGAUCAUAAUUUAAAGUCUAACCUGCCCAAUGAGGAGUUAAAUGGCCGCGGUACUUUGACCGUGCAAAGGUAGCAUACUCAUUAGUUUUUUAAUUGAAAGCUGGUAUGAACGGUUGGACGAGAAAGUGACUGUCUCAAUUUAAUUGUUUAUAGAACUUUAUUUAUAAGCAAAAAACUUAUAUAAUUUUAAAAGACGAGAAGACCCUAUAGAAUUUUAUAAUAAUAAAUAUAUAUUAUUAUUAGAAUAGUAAGUCUUAUAUAUAUAAAGUUAUUUUAUUGGGGCGAUAGAAAAAUUAAAUUAACUUUUUUUAAAUUAGUUCAUUAAUAUAUGUGUGAAUGAUCCGUUUAUUACGAUUAUAAGAUUCAAUUACCUUAGGGAUAACAGCCUAAUUUUUUCUUAGAGUUCUUAUCGAAAAAAGGGUUUGCGACCUCGAUGUUGGGUUAAAAUUAACUUUUGGUGUAGAGGCUAAAAGGUUAGGUCUGUUCGACCUUUAAAAU